AGUAGGGUCAGCUAAAAAAAGCUAUUGGGCCCAUACCCCAAAAAUGAUGGUUCAACCCCUUCCCCUACUA
Molecule: transfer RNA, 70 nt
Filed under: Ceryle rudis
Lineage: Eukaryota; Metazoa; Chordata; Aves; Coraciiformes; Cerylidae
Description: tRNA-Met
Rfam family: tRNA
About the family: Transfer RNA (tRNA) molecules are approximately 80 nucleotides in length. Their secondary structure includes four short double-helical elements and three loops (D, anti-codon, and T loops).
Source: RNAcentral